AGUCGAGCGAGCUUGCCUAGAUGAUUUUAGUGCUUGCACUAAAUGAAACUAGAUACAAGCGAGCGGCGGACGGGUGAGUAACACGUGGGUAACCUGCCCAAGAGACUGGGAUAACACCUGGAAACAGAUGCUAAUACCGGAUAACAACACUAGACGCAUGUCUAGAGUUUGAAAGAUGGUUCUGCUAUCACUCUUGGAUGGACCUGCGGUGCAUUAGCUAGUUGGUAAGGUAACGGCUUACCAAGGCAAUGAUGCAUAGCCGAGUUGAGAGACUGAUCGGCCACAUUGGGACUGAGACACGGCCCAAACUCCUACGGGAGGCAGCAGUAGGGAAUCUUCCACAAUGGACGAAAGUCUGAUGGAGCAACGCCGCGUGAGUGAAGAAGGGUUUCGGCUCGUAAAGCUCUGUUGGUAGUGAAGAAAGAUAGAGGUAGUAACUGGCCUUUAUUUGACGGUAAUUACUUAGAAAGUCACGGCUAACUACGUGCCAGCAGCCGCGGUAAUACGUAGGUGGCAAGCGUUGUCCGGAUUUAUUGGGCGUAAAGCGAGUGCAGGCGGUUCAAUAAGUCUGAUGUGAAAGCCUUCGGCUCAACCGGAGAAUUGCAUCAGAAACUGUUGAACUUGAGUGCGGAAGAGGAGAGUGGAACUCCAUGUGUAGCGGUGGAAUGCGUAGAUAUUAGGAGGAACACCAGUGGCGAAGGCGGCUUACUGGACCGUAACUGACGUUGAGGCUCGAAAGCGUGGGGAGCAAACAGGAUUAGAUACCCUGGUAGUCCACGCCGUA
Molecule: ribosomal RNA, 784 nt
Filed under: uncultured bacterium
Lineage: Bacteria
Description: bacterial SSU rRNA
Rfam family: Bacterial small subunit ribosomal RNA
Source: RNAcentral